GACGAACGCUGGCGGCGUGCUUAACACAUGCAAGUCGAACGGAAAGGCCCUGCUUUUGUGGGGUGCUCGAGUGGCGAACGGGUGAGUAACACGUGAGUAACCUGCCCUUGACUUUGGGAUAACUUCAGGAAACUGGGGCUAAUACCGGAUAGGAGCUCCUGCUGCAUGGUGGGGGUUGGAAAGUUUCGGCGUUUGGGGAUGGACUCGCGUCUUAUCAGCUUGUUGGUGGGGUAGUGGCUUACCAAGGCUUUUACGGGUAGCUGGUCUGAGAGGGUGAUCGGCUACACUAUUACAGAGAUUCCGCCGACACUCCUACUGGCUGCAGCAUUGGGUAAUAUUCCCCCACGGGCCGAAGUCAUAUGCAGGAUCCCCGUGUGCGGAGUUACGACUUUCGGGUUGUAACCCGCUUUCGCCGGAGACAAAGCGUGAGUGACGGUAAUGAUCAGAGAAGCACAGGCUAACUACGUG
This 468-nucleotide ribosomal RNA is filed under the name uncultured bacterium. RNAcentral describes it as "partial 16S ribosomal RNA". It matches the Rfam family "Bacterial small subunit ribosomal RNA", at positions 28 to 507 of the family's 1533-position model. The record is from RNAcentral.